Molecule: transfer RNA, 75 nt
Filed under: Dehalococcoidia bacterium
Lineage: Bacteria; Bacillati; Chloroflexota; Dehalococcoidia
Description: tRNA-Lys
Rfam family: tRNA
About the family: Transfer RNA (tRNA) molecules are approximately 80 nucleotides in length.
Source: RNAcentral
GGGCCCGUAGCUCAGUGGUAGAGCAGUGGACUUUUAAUCCAUCGGUCCAGGGUUCGAAUCCCUGCGGGCCCACCA